GUAAGUAACUAACCCAGUAUCCUUUCAAAUUUAUAUGUUGUGUACCGUGCGCUAGGUUCUGAGGUCUCCGUUUAUCUUUUCAGAGUUAUUUGAAAAUACUGUUACGAUGUGUCCUUUGCCUCUUUCAGCCUUUCACCAAGGUCACAGAAAUUAUUUAAUCUCUAUCAUUGUUUCUUCCAUUUUAACUUUUUCCUGAUUUUAUGGCAAAUGCAGAAUUUAAAAGAAUCAUUUGAACAAUUUCACGUUGGAUAAAACCUGUUAUGAUGAUGUCUGGUUGUGCCAAAACUUGAUCAAGCUUUCCUCAUUUGUUUAAUUACUGCAGUUUCAGAACAGAGAAACCAUAAGGUCUUUGUGGUCGCACUGUAUUUCUGCUUCAAGUUCAAUCAUUAAAUAUUGAUUUGAAUUAGUUUCUCAUUUUUGCAACAUGGGCAAUUAUAUAUGAAAUUUUGAUCUCAGCAUAGGUGAGACAGUCAUAGAAAUAAGACAUUUGGAUGGUUUCUGGAGUGCUUUAAUAUAUCUUAGUCUCUAUUUUGAUUACUUGCUGUGUUUGGAUGGUGCAGAUUUAUUGAGCUGUACAAUUAUAGUGCAUAUACUUUUUCAGUAUUUUAUACUUCAAUAGAAAUUUUAAAAUGUCAUGAAGAGAAUCCAAAUAUUGGUUAAGAUACUUUUUAACAAUAUUGUCCAUUAGAUUAUGUGUUAUUUGCUGCAAAAUGAUCAAUGUCCUCAUAAUAGUCCAACUGUGUUGUCUAACAUAAGCAUAUUUACAAAACUGUACUAUGAAGUAUUUUUUAAUUUCAUCACAUGCGUAUGUUUUUCCAUGCUUAUGCCUAAAUUCUUUUACUUAUACCUUUUUUCUGCUAUCAGAAUCAGUGUGAUUGUUUUCUUACUACAUGCAAAGAUGUUACUCAUAGGUCUUAGGAACAAUAAAAACCUACACGCAUUGCACAGUGGAAAAAUUCAGGAAAUUUUAUUGAAAUGAAUUAAAACAUAAAGCCACAGUCAGAAUAAUAAACUGCUUGGAUUUGCAAGUCCUUCUUACCUUUUGAGAUCCUGAUACUGACUACACUCUGUGUUUCAAUUUUUAAUUCUACUUCUUCAAGUUUCUCUACUUUAGUGUAAGAUCAGAAAGUUGUAGCUGUCAAUUACUGUCACUGCUUCACUCAAGAAAUUCUAAUGAUAGAGACUAUAAGAUGAUUUACAACAGAUGUGUUUUUGAUAUUUCUUCCAUGCUUUCCAGAGGUAAAAUAUUUAGUUAUUUGCCCUACCUUAGGAAAUACAUUUUUUAUAUUGGUGGAAGUACCUGUCAAUUUGUGUAUCUAAAAUUUUCUAACAUAAAAAUCCAUUUCAUCAUAAAGGAGGUAUUAAAUAUAUAUGACAUUUUGGUAGCAAUAAUAUUGUAGAAUCUCCUGAAGUUAUACAUGUCCUAGGUCUCUAUGUCCAAAACAAUAGAUAAAUCAAGGACCCUGGUGGAUGUGAAGGACACCAUAUUUAAUUUAGCCAUUCCUUAUUUCCAGAACAAUGGUUGUUAAACAUUUUUUACUAUUGCAAAUAGCAUACGUUUGUCAUUACAAACCAGUAUUUAUGCAUUCAUGCUUCUGUUGCUGUGGGAAAUUAUUUCUAGAAACAGUAAUGCUUAAAAGUAAGGUGCAUGAAAUUUGUUUUAGUGAGAUGUAGUCAAAUCACCACUCAAAUAUUCAGGUCACUAUUGUUUCAGUAAUGUACUGGAAUGUUGAGAUAGAUUUAUAUUUUAUGUAUUUAAGGCACCAAAAAAUGUUACUAUUUAAUAUAUUUUUGUGGGGGUUUUGUUUUUGUUUUUUUGAGACAGAAUCUCACUUUGUAGUUUAGAUUGGCCUUGAACUUGCUAUAUAGCCCAGGGUGGCCUUGAACCUGAAUCCAUCCUCCUGCCUCAACCUCCCAAGUAGAAAAUAUCUUCUUAAGUGAUAUAUUUAACACUACUAAAAUAAAUUGUAGUUAAUAUAAUUAAAACUGGUAGUGCUUUAAAAAAUAUAUGCCCUUAGAGUAGUAUUUACCACUAACAGUCAUACCCAUUAAUUCCAGCAGCUUUACUACUCCUAAGUGCAAAGCAAAAUUGAAUACUAAGAUUCAGAAGUUCUGAAAGAGCACUGUCUGGGUAGGCUAAACUUAUACCUUCAAUAAUAAUAAUAUUUAUAAAGCACAAUUCAUAAAUCAGUAAUUUAAUUUUUGUGAUAGUCAAUGAAAAGAGGACAGGGACAGAAAAUUUGAGUGUAAUGAUAAAGUAGUGUUAACAUGAAGUUAGUCAAGGUAGCCUUCAUAGUAUGAACUUGGAAAAAAUUAGCAGGACAGUUCUCUGAAAUAUCUUUCAAAUUUUAAUAUUUUAAUAUAUAUAUUUAAAAUUCUAGUGUUAUAUUUUCUUUCCACAUUAUUUGAACAGAUUAAUAUUUAGUGUAUGGGAGAUAUUUCCCCUUCUUUAUCCUUAGUGCCAAUAAUACAUGCUUGAGAAUGAACAAAUAAGAAAAUAAGUGUAAAGCCACAAAUGAAGGUCUCAGGUUGAAAUAGCCAUAUAUAGGUCACAGGAUUUAAAUGUAGCACAGUGUUUGCUUAGCUUUACAGAAGUGUGCUGAGUGGUAUACACAACAUGGGCAUUAUCAUCAUGUCAUUAAAAGUUCCAAUAGGUGCUGAACCUCAUACUUUAUAUCAACAACCCUAUAAACGUUUUAUGGUUUAUUCAGAUGAGACCUGAGGGGUGUGUAUGUGCGUGUGUGUGUGUGUUCUUGACACAGAGCAGCAAGAACGUCGGGUGGCCAGUGUGCUUUGAUAUGGUCACAGCCGUGCAGAAACCACGGCACCCAGCUUUGAGAUAAGGACACAGAUCAAGUUCAGAAAACAUGGAGGUCCAAGCCUCUGUACGCAGUAUCUCACUGUAAUCUUAUGUCACUCACCUCUGUGUAUGCAGUUUGUGUGAAGACAACCCAAGAUCAUUUUGGGGCAAGCCUGUAUGAGUAGUAAAAUUGUUAUUUAUUUACUUACCAUAAAAUGAUAAUCAGAUUAAGAGACUGUGGCACAGUGGUCGUGGUGGAAUACGGAUUGCAAGGUCAUAUUCACUGAGCAUUCUUGAAAACUUCAGAGCGUUCAGAGAGAGACUUCUGAAAACAGCACCUAUGAGGAAAGUCUUAUACAGCUAUUAACCACAUCAGUCUCUCUCAUCAGAAACUUCCAGACUAGGAGAGAGCGGAAUGAUACAUCUGAACGUGUUGGAAGAAAAAAACCCUGCCAACCAGGAACGCUUUACCUAAAAAUAGUCCUUCAAAACUGAAGGAGAUGAUGUUUUCUCCAGUGCCUGGACAGGAGUGCUGAGAGUGGACAACCUUGUUUCAUUCCUGACUUUAGAGGCAGUGCUUUCUGUUUUUCCCAUUUGAUGUAUUGUCUGUGGGUUUCUAUAUAUAUACAGACUUCAUUAUUUUGAGGUAAAACUCUUCUGUAACCUGUUUCUUCAGGACUGUUAUCAUGAAGGAAUGUUGAAUUUUCUUAAACGAUUUUGAUGCAUCAAUUGAGGUGGUCAUUUUUUUCUUGAUUCUGUUUAUAUUGUGUAUUACAUUUCUUGAUUUGCAUAUGUUGGACCAAUCUUUUAUUCCUGGAAUGAAACCAAUUUCAUGGUAACACAUGAUCUUUUCAAUGAGCUUAAUGAAUCCUAUUUGUAAGAUUUUAUUGAAAAUUUUUCCAUCUGUGUUCAUCUAGGAUAUUGACCUAUAGUUUUAUCUUGAAUUUUUAUCUGUUUUUGGUAUCAGGGUAAUACUUGUUUCCUUCUCUGUUCCCUGGAAUGAUUUGAGGAGAAUUGGUGUUAGUCUUCUUUAAAUGUCUGCCAAAUUACAGCAGCAAAUCACCCAGUCCUGGCCUCUUCUUAUUGGGAGACUUUACUGCUGCUUCAAUCUCACUGCUUGUUAUUGAUCUGUUGAAGUUUUCUGUUGAAACUCUAUUCCAUUUUGGAAGCUUAUAUGUAUAAAUAAAUGUCUCUACUUCUAGAUUUUCCAAUUUAUAGAAUAUAAAUUUUCAAGAUAAUUCCUAACCAUCCUCUGGAUUUCUGUGGUAUCUAUUUUAAUAUCACUUUUCCUUCUUUAAUUUUAUUAAUUUGUGU
Molecule: long non-coding RNA, 4114 nt
Filed under: Heterocephalus glaber (naked mole-rat)
Lineage: Eukaryota; Metazoa; Chordata; Mammalia; Rodentia; Bathyergidae
Description: lncRNA (ENSHGLG00100044090.1)
Source: RNAcentral